This is a non-coding RNA of Erythranthe guttata (spotted monkey flower), 701 nucleotides long. NCBI's taxonomy places the organism in Eukaryota, Viridiplantae, Streptophyta, Magnoliopsida, Lamiales, Phrymaceae. The record is from RefSeq and is a predicted model, not a curated record.
UAGUUCUCCAUGUCUCUCCUUUCAAUUCCAUUAAGAAGCGAGGGGGUGUUGCAGUAAGAGGAAAGGUGAAGUAAAAAUAGGUGUUUCAGUUUUGCACAAAAAUAAACACAUAGGUGCCUCGAGCAAAUUAUUCCUGCAUUAAGAGAAGAUUUAAUUGUUUACUGAUCUCGUUAUAGAUCUGAUUUUGGGGAAUAGAAUAUUUUCGAUGCCCUUUUUGUUCGACAGGAGAGAGAGCUACUAAACUAUUUCCGAUGCACUGUCGUUCUAACUUCCGUUAAAGGCUACCGGAAUAAAGGCAUGCGGUACGAAAUAAGCGAUGGCUGCAGUGUGUAACUGCCUCGGCCCAAGAACUGUUUGAAGGUAAUUUUUGUGCUUCUCGUAUUUUAUUCGAUGUUAGGAACAGUAAAAGUAAAUUAUGCCAUUUUACCUGUCUAUGGCUCUGAUAGGAAAAAUGAACUUCAAGGGCAAGCUGAGGGAGCUCCCGGUAAUGGUUAUGUCGCCGGAGAACGUUUUGCUCGCACUGAUAGGUAUUAGCCUAUAUCAAGAUUUUAUUAUUACUAUUAUUAUUAUGAAAUAUAUAUUCCUGUUUUCAGUAUCUAGAUUCUUGUAUAAUGGGAGAUGGUUAGUCUAAUGACAAUGCGGAUGAAGGUUUUACAAAUGGUUUAGAGAGGUAUAAAUAAAUUUCAAGUAGCAGUUAUAUG